Leopardus geoffroyi (Geoffroy's cat) is the source of this 934-nucleotide long non-coding RNA. RefSeq lists it as uncharacterized. The transcript has 2 exons. The record is from RefSeq and is a predicted model, not a curated record. NCBI's taxonomy places the organism in Eukaryota, Metazoa, Chordata, Mammalia, Carnivora, Felidae.
AAUACAUCUAUUCCUAAUUCUGAUCAAAAGAGAAUACUAAUCAUUUUGCUCAAAUUGUAUUUUUCUAUCCUAUUCCACCCACUUCUCUAAACCCCUCUCUCCUUUUAGGACCUGGCCCGAGAUCUAGCAUUCCUAUGAAUCUACUCAUGAACACCUCACUCUUUGCUGAUUCCUCUUUCCCCUGAAUUCCUCUGGUUUCCUCCCAUUUCUUCCAAAAUAAAUAAAUAAAUAAAUAAAUAAAAUAAAUUACCAUUUGUAUCAAGGCAAAAGUUUAUUCCUCUUUCACAGUGAAACUAGAAAUCAAGCUAAAAUGGAUGAAACACAUCUUCUGGGAAAGUGCUCAUUCUAAGGAAGAGUAAGUAAAUGACUUUCUAAAGACAUUUCAGAAUCCAUUGUCCUAGUCAAGGUCCUUAGAUGAUAGAACUGAAAGUCUACCUGUAACUAAAGAUGAAACCCAUUCACUGAGCUCUAAUAAAUGCUCCUCAACCAGUACCCCAUUUAGUUUUUAUGUAUCUUCGGUGCUGCAAUAUUAGUGACUUCAGUUCUGCUCCCUUGCUUUCUUUGUGACUAAUCUCACAGUCGCAUCAACUAGUUGAGUAACCUCUUUUGCAGACUCUUAAACUCUCUAGGCUUCAAUUUCCCUGUCUAUAAAAUUAGUGGGUUGACCAGAUGUAUUCUGAGCUCAGACUGGACCUGUGGAUCAGCUUUGUUUUCCUCCUAGGCUUACACUUCAAACCUAUGCUUUCCUACUCAAUCAGUUAUCUACCUAAAUAUCAGAAUGGACAUUAUAUUCUGUCAUUGUUUUGUGCUUAUUACUACGUGGUGCUUGUGCAACCCACGUCCUGUUGGCAGACAAGUGAUUAUUAAGACACUUUUCAAAUGCCAAGGAGAAAGUGACUCUACCAACUAAAGAGAUUUAAAAAUGUUUCCCCAA